This 450-nucleotide ribosomal RNA is filed under the name uncultured bacterium. RNAcentral describes it as "bacterial SSU rRNA". It matches the Rfam family "Bacterial small subunit ribosomal RNA", at positions 354 to 796 of the family's 1533-position model. The record is from RNAcentral.
GUGGGGAAUAUUGGACAAUGGGCGAAAGCCUGAUCCAGCCAUGCCGCGUGUGUGAAGAAGGUCUUCGGAUUGUAAAGCACUUUAAGUUGGGAGGAAGGGCAGUAAGUUAAUACCUUGCUGUUUUGACGUUACCGACAGAAUAAGCACCGGCUAACUUCGUGCCAGCAUCCGCGGUAAUACGAAGGGUGCAAGCGUUAAUCGGAAUUACUGGGCGUAAAGCGCGCGUAGGUGGUUUUGUAAGUUGGAGGUGAAAUCCCCGGGCUCAACCUGGGAACUGCCUCCAAAACUGCAUGACUAGAGUACGGUAGAGGGUAGUGGAAUUUCCUGUGUAGCGGUGAAAUGCGUAGAUAUAGGAAGGAACACCAGUGGCGAAGGCGACUACCUGGACUGAUACUGACACUGAGGUGCGAAAGCGUGGGGAGCAAACAGGAUUAGAAACCCGGGUAGUCC